ACAGCAGCAGGUGUAUCACUCCUGUUUCUACCUGGAGACAGCAGUCGCCUCAUUGUUCUGACACACAACACAAAACUAGCCACAACACUACACGCUAACUACACUGUAAAAAAUGGUAGUGAAAUUGACAUAAAAACCAUGUAAAAUCCCUACAGACAUGUAUAGUAAACCCCAAAACACAAGUUUUCUGUUUCAAUCACAGUGAACUUUUGUAAACUAUUAAACAGAAUGUUUUUGUUAUAUUUAUAACAUCAAUGUGUGAUUAUAAUCAAAUUUAUUUGUUAAAACUACAAAUAUUGGGAACAAAAACAGUGAAAUACUUUAAUACUCAUAACAAAGCAAUUAUGUUAAUUUGACAUGCAAAUAUUGUAAAAACUAUGGUUUUAGUCAGUUGUUUUUAAAAAUACAUGAAUUAUAUGUAAGUCACUUUACAAGUUUAUAAUGUAGGCCUGUAACGGACCUACUUUUAACAUGAUUCAUGAAAUUAUGCAAAUUCAGGUAUAGGGCUAAUAAAAAUGUUUUCACAGAAAAUGUCAUUGUGAACCUGAGAGGUUACUUCUCUAUUUUUAUGCUAUAUAAAGAUAUACAAUUAUAAUGACAUUGUCUGUUUUUUAAUCAUUCAGGCUAUUUGCAGCCUAUUGUAGAGUAACCAAUAAGAAAUUAUUAUUAUCGAUAGCCUAAGUAACACUUCUGUUCAGUUAUAAUCCUUGUAUUCUUUAUGUUUAUUUUAAUUGUAAUGUGAUACUUAGACUAGACUACUGUUUUUGGGUUAGGUCAGCAAUGUAUCAUAUCACAGGCUAAACAACCUAACAGUGCCUCCCAUAGGAUGUCUAUGGUGCCUCCUCUCCACAGAGCUGUAGCCUACUGUAACCUGCACUGAGUGCGCCUAAUUUUGAAUGUGCAUCUGUAGCUCGUCUCUGAUUGGAUAAUGACGUGAGGGCGGGAGGAGCGGGAGAAGAGCCGCUAGUUCACAGCUACAGUGAACGAACCAGCAGCACGCACCAUCUGCAAAACGAAGAGAGAAAACGUCGAGCUUUUACCAAGGACGUUUUUAGGACAAAUCACAAUUAUACGAUUUUGAUUGGUUUUUUUGAGGAUCUGUGGUUGUUCAUCUGAAAGUUUGCACGCUGUCUCUCUUUCUUUUAUUUCCGUGGACGUCACUUGCCAGCUGUCACUGAACGUCUCCCAAGAGCACGUUUUGCUUUUUUAAUGUUUUGCCCACUUGCACCAUUUUGUUUUUGCCUAAACCUGCACAAAGACAGAAAUGUGGCAUAAGGCCAGUCUCAGGGGUGCAUUCACAGCACUAUAUUUUCCAUUCUGCCUAUUAUUUAAAAAUAAA
Molecule: long non-coding RNA, 1339 nt
Organism: Oreochromis niloticus (Nile tilapia)
Lineage: Eukaryota; Metazoa; Chordata; Actinopteri; Cichliformes; Cichlidae
Exons: 2
Source: RefSeq, a predicted model, not a curated record